AGAAACAUGUUCAAAAUCAGAUAUAGAAAUUGCGAAUGGAUUUAUUUCUGAAUCUGACUUUACAUAUCCCUUAAAUAAACGAGCACGAUAUAAGUGUAAACCAGGAUAUGUAACAGCAGGUGGUAGAGCAUCAGGAUCAAUUACAUGUCUGCAUAGUGGAUGGUCAGCUCAGCCCACAUGCAUUAAAUCUUGUGAUAUGCCACUAUUUGAGAAGGCCAGAGCCAAAAGUGGUAGAACACGGUUUAAGCUCAAUGACAGAUUGGACUACGUGUGCCGUGAUGGCUAUGAGAGCAGAGAUGGACGCACCACAGGUUCCAUAGUUUGUGGUAACGAUGGCUGGUCUGAUACACCCACAUGUUAU
This is a non-coding RNA of Ceratotherium simum simum (southern white rhinoceros), 361 nucleotides long. NCBI's taxonomy places the organism in Eukaryota, Metazoa, Chordata, Mammalia, Perissodactyla, Rhinocerotidae. The record is from RefSeq and is a predicted model, not a curated record.